UACGUAGGGUGCGAGCGUUACUCGGAAUUACUGGGCGUAAAGUGUGCGCAGGCGGCUUGGCAAGUCGAGUGUGAAAUCCCCGGGCUUAACUUGGGAAUUGCGCUCGAAACUACCUGGCUAGAGUGUGGCAGAGGAAGGUGGAAUUCCACGUGUAGCGGUGAAAUGCGUAGAGAUGUGGAGGGACACCGAUGGCGAAGGCAGCCUUCUGGGCCAACACUGACGCUCAUGCACGAAAGCGUGGGGAGCAAACAGG
RNAcentral lists this ribosomal RNA (253 nucleotides) under uncultured bacterium. RNAcentral's name for it is "partial 16S ribosomal RNA". It matches the Rfam family "Bacterial small subunit ribosomal RNA", at positions 524 to 776 of the family's 1533-position model. The record is from RNAcentral.